ACCCGCUGAACUUAAGCAUAUCAAUAAGCGGAGGAAAAGAAACCAACAGGGAUUGCCUUAGUAACGGCGAGUGAAGCGGCAAAAGCUCAAAUUUGAAAUCGGCCACCAGGUCGAGUUGUAAUUUGUAGAUUGUAUCUUGAGAGCGGAUUAAAGUCUGUUGGAACACAGCGCCUUAGAGGGUGACAGCCCCGUAAAAUCUAUUCUCAUUGUAAGAUACUUUCGAAGAGUCGAGUUGUUUGGGAAUGCAGCUCUAAGUGGGAGGUAAAUUCCUUCUAAAGCUAAAUAUUGACGAGAGACCGAUAGCGAACAAGUACUGUGAAGGAAAGAUGAAAAGCACUUUGAAAAGAGAGUGAAAAAGUACGUGAAAUUGUUAAAAGGGAAGGGUAUUGAAUCAGACUUGGUGCUGUUGUUCAACUGUGUUUCGGCAUAGUGUACUCAGCAGUACUAGGCCAAGGUGGGGUGUUUGGGAGUGAAAAAGAAGUAGGAACGUAACUCUUCGGAGUGUUAUAGCCUACUUUCAUAGCUCCUCAGGCGCCUCAGGACUGCGCUUCGGCAAGGACCUUGGCAUAAUGAUUCUAUACCGCCCGUCUUGAAACACGGACCAAGGAG
Molecule: ribosomal RNA, 609 nt
Filed under: uncultured fungus
Lineage: Eukaryota; Fungi
Description: eukaryotic LSU rRNA
Rfam family: Eukaryotic large subunit ribosomal RNA
Source: RNAcentral